UAACGCGUGAGCAAUCUGCCUUUAAGAGGGGGAUAACAGUCGGAAACGGCUGCUAAUACCGCAUAAAGCAUCAAAUUCGCAUGUUUUUGAUGUCAAAGGAGCAAUCCGCUUUUAGAUGAGCUCGCGUCUGAUUAGCUGGUUGGCGGGGUAACGGCCCACCAAGGCGACGAUCAGUAGCCGGACUGAGAGGUUGAACGGCCACAUUGGGACUGAGACACGGCCCAG
RNAcentral lists this ribosomal RNA (225 nucleotides) under uncultured bacterium. Its description in RNAcentral is "partial 16S ribosomal RNA". It matches the Rfam family "Bacterial small subunit ribosomal RNA", at positions 111 to 334 of the family's 1533-position model. The record is from RNAcentral.